GAUGAACGCUGGCGGCGUGCCUAGUACAUGCAAGUCGAGCGAACAGACGAGGAGCUUGCUCCUCUGACGUUAGCGGCGGACGGGUGAGUAACACGUGGAUAACCUACCUAUAAGACUGGGAUAACUUCGGGAAACCGGAGCUAAUACCGGAUAAUAUAUUGAACCGCAUGGUUCAAUAGUGAAAGACGGUUUUGCUGUCACUUAUAGAUGGAUCCGCGCCGCAUUAGCUAGUUGGUAAGGUAACGGCUUACCAAGGCAACGAUGCGUAGCCGACCUGAGAGGGUGAUCGGCCACACUGGAACGGAGACACGGUCCAGACUCCUACGGGAGGCAGCAGUAGGGAAUCUUCCGCAAUGGGCGAAAGCCUGACGGAGCAACGCCGCGUGAGUGAUGAAGGUCUUCGGAUCGUAAAACUCUGUUAUUAGGGAAGAACAAAUGUGUAAGUAACUAUGCACGUCUUGACGGUACCUAAUCAGAAAGCCACGGCUAACUACGUG
RNAcentral lists this ribosomal RNA (497 nucleotides) under uncultured bacterium. RNAcentral describes it as "partial 16S ribosomal RNA". It matches the Rfam family "Bacterial small subunit ribosomal RNA", at positions 28 to 507 of the family's 1533-position model. The record is from RNAcentral.